RNAcentral lists this ribosomal RNA (499 nucleotides) under uncultured bacterium. RNAcentral describes it as "partial 16S ribosomal RNA". It matches the Rfam family "Bacterial small subunit ribosomal RNA", at positions 28 to 507 of the family's 1533-position model. The record is from RNAcentral.
GAUGAACGCUGGCGGCGUGCCUAAUACAUGCAAGUCGAGCGAACAGACGAGAAUGGUUUCCCUUUCUGGGUUUAGAGUCGGACGCGUGAGUGGCAUGCAUCUAACUCUCCUAUAUCACGGGGAUAACCUCGGGAAAACGUACCCAAUUCCGGAAUAUAUUUAGCUUCUCAUGAAGCAAUAGUUUAAGACGUUUCUGCUGUCACUUAGCCAUUGACCCGCUGUGGAUUAGCUAGUUGGUGGGGUAACGGCUCACCAAGGCAACGACCCAUAGCCGACCUGAGAGGGUGAUCAGCCACACUGGAACUGAGACACGGCCCAGACUCCUACGGGAGGCAGCAGUAGGGAAUCUUCCGCAAUGGGCGAAAGUCUGACGGAGCAAUGCCGCGUGAGUGAAGAAGGUUUUCGGAUCGUAAAACUCUGUUGUAAGGAAAGAACAAGUACGUUAGUAACUGAACGUAUCUUGACGGUACCUUACCAGAAAGCCACGGCUAACUACGUG